CCUACGGGAGGCAGCAGUGAGGAAUAUUGGUCAAUGGGCGAGAGCCUGAACCAGCCAAGUCGCGUGAAGGAUGAAGGCUCUAUGGGUUGUAAACUUCUUUUAUAAGGGAAUAAAAUGAGGCACGCGUCCCGUUUUGCAUGUACCUUAUGAAUAAGGAUCGGCUAACUCCGUGCCAGCAGCCGCGGUAAUACGGAGGAUCCGAGCGUUAUCCGGAUUUAUUGGGUUUAAAGGGAGCGUAGAUGGGUUGUUAAGUCAGUUGUGAAAGUCUGCGGCUCAACCGUAGAAUUGCAGUUGAUACUGGGAGUCUUGAGUACAGUUGAGGCAGGCGGAAUGCGUGGUGUAGCGGUGAAAUGCUUAGAUAUCACGAAGAACCCCGAUUGCGAAGGCAGCUUGCUAAACUGUGACUGACAUUGAUGCUCGAAAGUGUGGGGAUCGAACAGGAUUAGAUACCCUAGUAGUC
This 460-nucleotide ribosomal RNA is filed under the name uncultured bacterium. RNAcentral's name for it is "partial 16S ribosomal RNA". It matches the Rfam family "Bacterial small subunit ribosomal RNA", at positions 338 to 795 of the family's 1533-position model. The record is from RNAcentral.